This 261-nucleotide ribosomal RNA is filed under the name uncultured bacterium. RNAcentral's name for it is "partial 16S ribosomal RNA". It matches the Rfam family "Bacterial small subunit ribosomal RNA", at positions 524 to 783 of the family's 1533-position model. The record is from RNAcentral.
UACGGGGGGGGCAAGCGUUGUUCGGAAUUACUGGGCGUAAAGGGCUCGUAGGUGGCCAACUAAGUCAGACGUGAAAUCCCUCAGCUUAACUGGGGAACUGCGUCUGAUACUGGAUGGCUUGAGUUUGGGAGAGGGAUGCGGAAUUCCAGGUGUAGCGGUGAAAUGCGUAGAUAUCGGGAGGAACACCAGUGGCGAAGGCGGGCACCUGGGCCGACACUGACGCUGAGGCGCGAAAAGCUAGGGGAGCAACAGGAGUAAGAU